This 387-nucleotide unclassified non-coding RNA is filed under the name soil metagenome. RNAcentral's name for it is "partial contains 5.8S ribosomal RNA, internal transcribed spacer 2, and large subunit ribosomal RNA". The stretch from base 1 to 119 matches the Rfam family "5.8S ribosomal RNA", at positions 35 to 154 of the family's 154-position model. The record is from RNAcentral.
GAUGAAGACGUAGCGAAAUGCGAUAAGUAAUGUGAAUUGCAGAAUUCAGUGAAUCAUCGAAUCUUUGAACGCACCUUGCGCUCCUUGGUAUUCCGAGGAGCAUGCCUGUUUGAGUGUCAUUAAAUUCUCAACCUCACCAGUUUUGUAACGAGACAGGUGAAGGCUUGGAUGUGGGGGUUUUGCAGGCUGCCUCAGUGCUGGUCUGCUCUCCUGAAAUGCAUUAGCGAGCUCAUAUUGAGCUUCCGUCUAUUGGUGUGAUAAUUAUCUACGCCGUGGAUUGGACUCAUGCUUGCUUCUAACCGUCCGCAAGGACAAUUUACUUGACCAAUUUGACCUCAAAUCAGGUAGGACUACCCGCUGAACUUAAGCAUAUCAAUAAGCGGAGGA